CUUUCUCCGCCCGGCGACCGGCGCACGGGUGAGUAACACGUAUGCAACCUGCCCCUGUCAGGGGGACAACCCGCCGAAAGGCGGGCUAAACCCGCGUACAUGCCACCGGGCAUCCCGGAGGCAGGAAAGGCUUCGGCCGGACAGGGAUGGGCAUGCGGCGCAUUAGGCAGUAGGCGGGGUAACGGCCCACCUAACCGACGAUGCGUAGGGGUUCUGAGAGGAAGGUCCCCCACACUGGUACUGAGACACGGACCAGACUCCUACGGGAGGCAGCAG
Molecule: ribosomal RNA, 276 nt
Filed under: uncultured bacterium
Lineage: Bacteria
Description: partial 16S ribosomal RNA
Rfam family: Bacterial small subunit ribosomal RNA
Source: RNAcentral